AUUCACGCUGGCGGCGUGCCUCAUACAUGCAAGUCGCGCGCACAGACGAGGAGCUUGCUCCUCUGACGUUAGCGGCGGACGGGUGAGUAACACGUGGAUAACCUACCUAUAAGACUGGGAUAACUUCGGGAAACCGGAGCUAAUACCGGAUAAUAUAUUGAACCGCAUGGUUCAAUAGUGAAAGACGGUUUUGCUGUCACUUAUAGAUGGAUCCGCGCCGCAUUAGCUAGUUGGUAAGGUAACGGCUUACCAAGGCAACGAUGCGUAGCCGACCUGAGAGGGUGAUUGGCCACACUGGAACUGAGACACGGUCCAGACUCCUACGGGAGGCAGCAGUAGGGAAUCUUCCGCAAUGGGCGAAAGCCUGACGGAGCAACGCCGCGUGAGUGAUGAAGGUCUUCGGAUCGUAAAACUCUGUUAUUAGGGAAGAACAAAUGUGUAAGUAACUAUGCACGUCUUGACGGUACCUAAUCAGAAAGCCACGGCUAACUACGUG
RNAcentral lists this ribosomal RNA (496 nucleotides) under uncultured bacterium. RNAcentral describes it as "partial 16S ribosomal RNA". It matches the Rfam family "Bacterial small subunit ribosomal RNA", at positions 33 to 507 of the family's 1533-position model. The record is from RNAcentral.